Molecule: ribosomal RNA, 394 nt
Filed under: uncultured bacterium
Lineage: Bacteria
Description: bacterial SSU rRNA
Rfam family: Bacterial small subunit ribosomal RNA
Source: RNAcentral
GACGAACGCUGGCGGCGUGCUUAACACAUGCAAGUCGAGCGGUAAGGCCCUUUCGGGGGUACACGAGCGGCGAACGGGUGAGUAACACGUGGGUGACCUGCCCUCAGCUCUGGGAUAAGCCUGGGAAACUGGGUCUAAUACCGGAUAUGACUCCAUGACGCAUGUUGUGGGGUGGAAAGCCUUGUGCGGCUGAGGAUGGGCCCGCGGCCUAUCAGCUUGUUGGUGGGGUGANGGCCUACCAAGGCGACGACGGGUAGCCGGCCUGAGAGGGCGACCGGCCACACUGGGACUGAGACACGGCCCAGACUCCUACGGGAGGCAGCAGUGGGGAAUCUUGCGCAAUGGGCGAAAGCCUGACGCAGCGACGCCGCGUGAGGGAUGACGGCCUCGGUGU